ACGUUCGGGUAAUCGCUGCAGCUAUAAGCUGUAGAGGAAAGUCCAUGCUCGCACGGUGCUGAGAUGCCCGUAGUGUUCGUGCCUAGCGAAGUCAUAAGCUAGGGCAGACGAAUAAUAGUAGUCUGACGGCAGGGAAAACACCUAAGUCCGUUUGGAUAUGGUGUGAAUACCUAUAAAGUGCCACAGUGACGUAGCCUUGAGAGAAAUCUGAAGGGUGGAACGAGGUAAACCCCGCGAGCGAGCAACUCAAAUUAUGGUAGAGGCACUCCUUUUCUUGGAAAUGAACGAGGAAGGAGACAAGCAAUGCUUGCUUGGAGAUAGAUGAUUACCACCGGAGUACAAGAUUAUACCAAUCGUUUGCAGUACAAAGGUACAAAACAUGGCUUAUAGAA
This 392-nucleotide RNase P RNA is filed under the name Bacillus sp. FJAT-49736. Its description in RNAcentral is "Bacterial RNase P class B". It matches the Rfam family "Bacterial RNase P class B". From Rfam's summary of the family: Ribonuclease P (RNase P) is a ubiquitous endoribonuclease, found in archaea, bacteria and eukarya as well as chloroplasts and mitochondria. The record is from Rfam by way of RNAcentral. Lineage: Bacteria; Bacillati; Bacillota; Bacilli; Caryophanales; Bacillaceae.